GAACUCUGGUAUUGAUUGGUGCUUGCAUCAUGAUUUACAUUUGAGUGAGUGGCGAACUGGUGAGUAACACGUGGGAAACCUGCCCAGAAGCGGGGGAUAACACCUGGAAACAGAUGCUAAUACCGCAUAACAACUUGGACCGCAUGGUCCGAGUUUGAAAGAUGGCUUCGGCUAUCACUUUUGGAUGGUCCCGCGGCGUAUUAGCUAGAUGGUGGGGUAACGGCUCACCAUGGCAAUGAUACGUAGCCGACCUGAGAGGGUAAUCGGCCACAUUGGGACUGAGACACGGCCCAAACUCCUACGGGAGGCAGCAGUAGGGAAUCUUCCACAAUGGACGAAAGUCUGAUGGAGCAACGCCGCGUGAGUGAAGAAGGGUUUCGGCUCGUAAAACUCUGUUGUUAAAGAAGAACAUAUCUGAGAGUAACUGUUCAGGUAUUGACGGUAUUUAACCAGAAAGCCACGGCUAACUACGUGCCAGCAGCCGCGGUAAUACGUAGGUGGCAAGCGUUGUCCGUAUUUAUUGGGCGUAAAGCGAGCGCAGGCGGUUUUUUAAGUCUGAUGUGAAAGCCUUCGGCUCAACCCGAAAGAAGUGCAUCGGUAACUGGGAAACUUGAGU
RNAcentral lists this ribosomal RNA (616 nucleotides) under Lactiplantibacillus plantarum. Its description in RNAcentral is "bacterial SSU rRNA". It matches the Rfam family "Bacterial small subunit ribosomal RNA", at positions 64 to 647 of the family's 1533-position model. Lineage: Bacteria; Bacillati; Bacillota; Bacilli; Lactobacillales; Lactobacillaceae. The record is from RNAcentral.